This is a long non-coding RNA of Cyprinus carpio carpio, 594 nucleotides long. The record is from Ensembl. NCBI's taxonomy places the organism in Eukaryota, Metazoa, Chordata, Actinopteri, Cypriniformes, Cyprinidae.
CUGAUAUUUAGUCGUCAGGUAUGGCAACCAUAAUCCAACGUUUCCUAGACGUCAUAAUGGCAACGUCCACACAACGUCAAAUUAAAACAUCAUUUGAUGUUGAUCUGUAGUUAUUUUUAGGUUGUGGCAUUAACUAACCAAAAUCCAACGUCGAGCCAACGUCUCAAGCCAACGUCACAUUGACAUCAAAUACUGAUGUUUUGUCGUCAGGUAUGGCAACCUAAAUUCAACAUCUAGUAGACGUCAUUAUGGUAACGUCCAAUCAACGUCAAGUUAUAACAUCAUUUGAUGUUGAUCUGUGGUUAGUUUUAGGUUGUGGCAUUAACUAACCAAAAUCCAACGUCGAGCCAACGUCUCAAGCCAACGUCACAUUGACAUCAAAAACUUAUGUUUUGUCGUCAGGUAUGGCAACCAUAAUCCAACGUUUUCUAGACAUCAUAAUGGCAACAUCCACACAACGUCAAAUUAAAACAUCAUUUGAUGUUGAUCUGUAGUUAGUUUUAGGUUGUGGCAUUAACUAACCAAAAUCCAACGUCGAGCCAACGUCUCAAGCCAACGUCACAUUGACAUCAAAUACUGAUACUUAGUCGUCAG